RNAcentral lists this ribosomal RNA (468 nucleotides) under uncultured bacterium. RNAcentral describes it as "partial 16S ribosomal RNA". It matches the Rfam family "Bacterial small subunit ribosomal RNA", at positions 28 to 507 of the family's 1533-position model. The record is from RNAcentral.
GACGAACGCUGGCGGCGUGCUUAACACAUGCAAGUCGAACGGAAAGGCCCUGCUUUUGUGGGGUGCUCGAGUGGCGAACGGGUGAGUAACACGUGAGUAACCUGCCCUUGACUUUGGGAUAACUUCAGGAAAGUGGGGAUAAUACCGGAUAGGAGCUUAUGCUACAUGGUGGGGGCAGGAAAGUUUAGGGGGGUUGGGAUGGACUCGCGGCUAAUCAGCUUGUUGGUGGGGUAGUGGCUUACCAAGGCUUUGGCGGGUAGCCGGCCUGAGAGGGUGGCCGGCCCCACUGCAACUGAGGUACGGCCCAGACUCCAAUGGUAGGCAACGGUGGAGAGUAUUAUACAGUGAGCGGAAGCCUAAUCCGACAACGCCACGUGCGGGAAGACGGCCUGUGGGUUGUAAACCGCUUUUGCCUGAGACGGAACGUGAAUGACGGUAAUGGAUAAAGAAGCACCGGCUAACUACGUG